This 253-nucleotide ribosomal RNA is filed under the name uncultured bacterium. RNAcentral describes it as "partial 16S ribosomal RNA". It matches the Rfam family "Bacterial small subunit ribosomal RNA", at positions 524 to 776 of the family's 1533-position model. The record is from RNAcentral.
UACAGAGGUGGCAAGCGUUGUUCGGAAUUACUGGGCGUAAAGGGCGCGUAGGCGGUCCUUCAAGUCCCGCGUGAAAUCCCCCGGCUCAACUGGGGAACUGCGCGGGAAACUGUAGGGCUUGAGUUCGGGAGAGGGAAGCGGAAUUCCGGGUGUAGCGGUGAAAUGCGUAGAUAUCCGGAGGAACACCGGUGGCGAAGGCGGCUUCCUGGACCGACACUGACGCUGAGGCGCGAAAGCUAGGGGAGCAAACGGG